GGAAGGCUGCACUUCUCCCCAGCCCCAGGGUGAGUCUUCACUGAAGCAAGCUAAUCAUGGUGAUCUCAUUGUUUAUGACUCACUUUUGAAGAGUGAGACUUUAGGGAACUGAACCCGGGCUGCUGAGAUGGAGCACUCCAAACUUAACCACCAGGCCACAGGGCCGGCCUCCAACUCUUUUAAUCUGUUAAAGGAUGUCCAUCAAAAAUCCACAAAACUCAAUAUGCGUGGUUUUUAAAGAAAGUCGACCAUGGAAACUACACUGAGAAUGGUAAGAUUGAUAUUCCCAAUCCCUUCCAAAACUUGGAGCCUUCUCCUUUUCCAUGCCAACCCACACGACGCAAAGAAAUGGAGUAGCAUUCCGAGAAAAGGAGUUGGGAGAAUGGAGAAGAGGAAAAGGUGAAAGUGAGGUGGUCUCACGUAUGGUCACAGAAAGAGCAAUCAAUCAAUCAAUCAAUCAUAAAAAUAACUCUGGGAGUCUCAAUUUUGACCAAAAAAUCUAUGAUUUUUGUCAAUGCGAAUUUGAUUUGCCUGAAGUGUUGUUUCCUCAAAAUGGGCCAGAACAAAGCUUGCCCUUGCUGAACAGCUGCUGUCUCUGUCCCCGAGACCAUGAACAACAGACAAGACCGGACAGAGGCACUUGCUGAGGGAACCUACAAACUACAGUGACCUUCCCAGGACAGUGGGUCUACAAAGUCCUGCUCACAAAAAACACAUUCUCGUUAUCAACUGGCCUGUGUGAGAGCAAGGCGUGCAGCCACCAUUGCUCCCUCCAGACAGACAGCGAGGAGAUGGGGCUGCUGAGUGUCUGUGGUGUCUAGGGUCGCUCCUCACCCCAAAGAGGCAAUGAUUUCAGGAAGCGAAGGCUCUCAUCGCGGGCUGACUGAUGACAGGGUUUGGAAUGGAGGGUCUUGUGGACAGUUUGUGAAAACUCUCCCAAGGAGCUUACGAGUUUCUUCCACGUCUAAAAGGCCUGUUAACACUGAGCCACAUGAAAAAAUAAUACUCUGGAGCGGUUUUCCCCCCUCCAUGAUGUGAUUAACAUCUGAAACUACUCAAAUUAUACUCCAAUGAGGAAAACUUCAACAAGAAAAGCUCUCCUCAACAUUAAAAGAGUCUACUUGUUUUGUAAUCUGCA
Molecule: long non-coding RNA, 1138 nt
Filed under: Equus caballus (horse)
Lineage: Eukaryota; Metazoa; Chordata; Mammalia; Perissodactyla; Equidae
Description: lncRNA (ENSECAG00000053445.1)
Source: RNAcentral